RNAcentral lists this ribosomal RNA (472 nucleotides) under uncultured bacterium. RNAcentral's name for it is "bacterial SSU rRNA". It matches the Rfam family "Bacterial small subunit ribosomal RNA", at positions 355 to 825 of the family's 1533-position model. The record is from RNAcentral.
UAAGGAAUAUUGCGCAAUGGGCGCAAGCCUGAUCCAGCCAUGCCGCGUGAGUGAAGAAGGCCUUCGGGUUGUAAAGCUCUUUCGGCGGGGACGAAAUGGUUCGUGCCAAUACCACGGACUGAUGACGGUACCUGAAGAAUAAGCACCGGCUAACUACGUGCCAGCAGCCGCGGUAAUACGUAGGGUGCAAGCGUUAAUCGGAAUUACUGGGCGUAAAGCGUGCGCAGGCGGUUGUGUAAGUCAGAUGUGAAAUCCCCGGGCUCAACCUGGGAAUUGCAUUUGAGACUGCACAGCUGGAGUACGGCAGAGGGGGAUGGAAUUCCGCGUGUAGCAGUGAAAUGCGUAGAUAUGCGGAGGAACACCGAUGGCGAAGGCAGUCCCCUGGGCCUGUACUGACGCUCAUGCACGAAAGCGUGGGGAGCAAACAGGAUUAGAUACCCGGGUAGUCCCUGAGCGGGCUGGCAAGGCGCAU